Tripterygium wilfordii is the source of this 2942-nucleotide RNA transcript. It is a transcript of the gene named pentatricopeptide repeat-containing protein At4g26680, mitochondrial, with no coding region annotated. The transcript is spliced from 3 exons. The record is from RefSeq and is a predicted model, not a curated record. NCBI's taxonomy places the organism in Eukaryota, Viridiplantae, Streptophyta, Magnoliopsida, Celastrales, Celastraceae.
GCGGAAGCAGAGGUUCUCCCAGAGCGAGUCGUUCCGCGCAAUGGUGCACCAGAAUCUACAGACGCAGGCGGCCACACUUAGGGAUCGACCAUCUAGACGUUUCAGGAUCUCGAUUAGGAUGUCAAUGUGGUCGUUCAGGCCCACUACUAAAGUUUGGGUUUGACAUCCCAGUCAUGCAAAUCAAGGUGUCUUCCAAUUCCCGUAAUUUCUUUCUAAUUUAAUCAGCCUACGUGAGCCCGGGCGAGCAAAAUUGGAAGCCAACUUGGGCCUCGCGCUGCAACGUACGAGCCCGGCCCAAAUAUAGUCCAGUCUGGCUCAACUGGGUCAGUAGCCCAAACCCAACCCAACCCGUUUACAGUGAAUCUCAGCCAAUGGUGGUGGGGGAUGUCGGACUUGUCAUCAGCUGCACAGCCGUCGCUUGUUGUUCAGCAAAUUCUUCAACAAGGUUUGCACUUACCAAGUUAUCAAUUUCCUUUCCUUUGUCUGCUAUUGAUUCCGUCUACAUGCUCAGUUUCACUCGCUAAACUCGAAUGAACUUGAUGAUUAUAACAAUCACCAUGUUUUGUGAAUCAGCUGAAGAAGAGUGAAGAGGCGGCUACUCCCCUAGCCCAGCCCAUGGGAAAGCCUUUUUUUUCUAGUCUACGUGCAUUGUUUGCUCCAAUGAUGCCUAUACGGGAUAAUGUUAUAUCAUAUAGAUUGGAGAUUUGGAGAUGUCAAUCGAUGAGCCAGAAUUUCUUUGAAUAAAGGCUAGGCCCCCUGCUAUGGCCAUAUAUAUUGGAUAAUCGGCAAGACCCACUUUCAUACUAGGGCAUUUUCUUUCAUAUUUAGCUCGUCUCGCUGUGUCCAGGUGAGUAAGGACGGGAACUCUAUUUAUCUUGGUAAUUGCUAUGAACAACUUUUCAAUUCGUCGGUUUUCAACCUCGCCUAGUUCUUGCGUACCAACAAACUCCAACUCUGUAAAAUCCUCAACUCUUGGGAUUCUGGGGGGAAGGAUUCGGGAUGUAAUUCCAGUUCCCCACAGAACGAUUCCUGAACCCAGAGGGCAAGACCUCGACUUUGUCAAUGUUGCACACAGCCACCUGAUUCACUCUGAUUGGGAGAAGCUCAAUGCUCUAUCAACCCAUCUCACUCCCUUUAGAGUCAAGCACAUGCUGUUAAAGGUCCAAAAGGACUAUGUUCUUUCGCUUGAAUUUUUCAAUUGGAUCAAAACCCAAAACCCUUGUUCCCUUACACUCGAUACAUAUUCAAUGAUUAUGCACAUUCUAACUAAGUAUCGGAAAUUCAAGUCUGCGGAAUCUAUCUUGAGGAGCAUUUAUGUACCGGGUUCCAUAGAUUUUCCUUCUAAGUUGUUUGAAGCAACACUGUAUUCUUACCGCUUGUGUGAUUCUUCUCCUCGUGUUUUCGAUAUGUUGUUUAAGUGCUAUGCACAUAUGAAAAAGUUUAGAAAUGCCACUGAUACUUUUUGUCAAAUGAAAAAUUACGGGUUUUUGCCUACUGUGGAGUCCUGUAAUGCAUACUUGAGCUCAUUGCUUGAUUCUGAUAGGUCGGAUAUUGCUUUGGCAUUCUACAGAGAGAUGAAACGCCAUAGAAUAUCACCAAAUGUGUUUAGUUUUAAUAUGGUCAUGUCUGCUUAUGGCAAACUGGGAAAGCUAGAAAAGGGAAUUGAAGUGUUCAGGGGGAUGGAGAAGAUGGGUGUUGGGCAUAAUGUUGCCUCUUAUAAUACCUUGAUUGCAGGAUAUUGUAAUAAGGGUCUAUUGGAAUUGGCUUUGAAACUUAAAAACUCGAUGGGUAAGAAUGAGGUGCAUCCUAAUGUGGUUACUUUUAAUGCUCUUAUUUGUGGAUUUUGCAAGGAAGGGAAACUACAUGAAGCAAAUAAACUUUUUAGUGAAAUGAAAGCCGUCAAUGUGUCUCCUAACACUGUCACUUACAAUACUUUGAUCAAUGGAUACAGUCAGAUGGGAAAUAGUGAGGUGGGUGGCAGUCUUUAUGAGGAGAUGGCGAGGAAUGAAGUUAAGGCUGAUGUCUUGACAUAUAAUGCCUUGAUUUUGGGUCUUUGCAAGGAGGGUAAGACCAAGAAAGCUGCAUAUUUGGUUAAAGAACUUGAUAAGAACUUUGUCCCAAAUGCCUCCACUUUUUCUGCCCUUAUAACAGGACAAUGUGUGAGGAGGAACUCAGAUCGUGCUUUCCAGUUGUAUAAAAUCAUGGUAAGGAGUGGUUGUCAUCCAAAUGAACAUACCUUCAGGAUGCUGAUUUCUACAUUCUGCAAGAAUGAAGAUUUUGAUGGAGCACUUCUAGUUCUUGAGGAAAUGAUAGAGAGAGCUAUUCCUCCUGAUUUGAGCAUCUUAUCUGAGAUUUAUGACAGACUUUGUCUCUGUGGAAAAGAUGAAUUGGCUAUGAAGUUAUGCAGCAAGAUGGAAGCUAGAUGCCUCAUGCCCGAAGGAUUUGACAAGAUGAGAACAUCAGCUCAGGAUCAGAUAAAUGAAAACAAAGUGAUAGAGAAACUGUGAGGCUCUUCCUACAUUUCGUACUACUCAUUCUUUCGGGCUUUAGGCAAUGCUGGCUGGCAUACGAUGGCACUUUUAUGAACUCCUCCAUAAGUAUUCAGGAAGGAAAUGAAAACAUGAAACUUUGAAAGCAUUUUCCGGACAGGAUUCCCUGAAGACAAGUGUACAGCCCAAAUAUUGUUCUGAUAGUGAUCAUCUCUCAUGAUUUGAGCUUUCGUUGCGUAGCUUCUUUAGAUGCGUGCUGGCUGGGUAUUCUUGUGGAAAAAGCAAAACCAACUCAUUUAAUUUUUAUCUCAUUACAUAACAAAAAAUGGAAAGUAAUAGGAAGAGCAAUACCGACUAAUUACAGGUUUUUCAGUAUAUUAAUUUGUUUAUUCAUUAAUAUAUAGUAUGUUUAGUGUCAACGUGUGUAUGUGUAUUGUGUAUACUGUAUAUAUA